AGAUGCCUAACCUGCAAGUCGCACGAGAAGUGGAGCCUCCAUGAGUAAAGUGGCGUACGGGUGAGUAACACGUGACUAACCUACCUUCGAGUGGGGAAUAACUUCGGGAAACCGAGGCUAAUACCGCAUAACAUCUUUUGGUUGAGAUACCGAUUGAUCAAACCAGUAAUGGGCUUGAAGAGGGGGUCGCGGCUGAUUAGCUAGUUGGUGGGGUAACGGCCCACCAAGGCGAUGAUCAGUAGCCGGCCUGAGAGGGCGCACGGCCACACUGGAACUGAAACACGGUCCAGACUCCUACGGGAGGCAGCAGUGGGGAAUUUUGCGCAAUGGGGGAAACCCUGACGCAGCAACGCCGCGUGGAGGAUGAAGUCCCUUGGGACGUAAACUCCUUUCGAUCGGGACGAUUAUGACGGUACCGGAAGAAGAAGCCCCGGCUAACUUCGUGCCAGCAGCCGCGGUAAUACGAGGGGGGCAAGCGUUGUUCGGAAUUAUUGGGCGUAAAGGGCGCGUAGGCGGUGCGGUAAGUCUGAUGUGAAAUCUCCGGGCUCAACUCGGAGUCUGCAUCAGAAACUGCCGUGCUCGAGUGUGGGAUAGGUGAAUGGAAUUCCCGGUGUAGCGGUGAAAUGCGUAUAUAUCGGGGAGGAACACCUGUGGCGAAAGCGGCUCACUGGAACCACAACUGACGCAGAUGCGCGAAAACUAAGGGAAGCAACAGGAUUAUAUACCCUGGUAUUCCUAGCCCCUAAACAACGAUCCCUUUGGUGUGAUAGAGUACCCAAAUCCUACCGCGCCAGGAACAUAAGCGUUUAACCGUACCGGCCAGGGGGAAGAAAGUCCGCAAGGGCUGAAUCCCAAAUGGAUCUUAAAGGGAGGCCGUCACCAGUCGGUGGAGCCAAUGGUUUCU
This 904-nucleotide ribosomal RNA is filed under the name Acidobacteria bacterium enrichment culture clone CTBE CDB1001G09. Its description in RNAcentral is "bacterial SSU rRNA". It matches the Rfam family "Bacterial small subunit ribosomal RNA", at positions 43 to 949 of the family's 1533-position model. Lineage: Bacteria; Pseudomonadati; Acidobacteriota. The record is from RNAcentral.